AUGCAGGGACGCCUUACUACUGAGAAUCACCAAAAUUCAUUGCUUUUCAGCUUCAACCUUCAGAUCCCAUGUGAGAUCAUCUGGAGGCCCCAAUCCUGGUUCUCCCCUUCGAUGGCUGGUGGCGACUGGAGUUCGUCUUUGGUCGGCGUCAUUGGAGCGUGCUGGGCGCGCUGUGGUGUUCUCAUACCCGCAUAUAGAGGCCAAGGACAGAAUCACCUUGUUGAAUUGUUCACACGUCCUUUCAUAAUCCUAGAAAGUUGUUUAUGUGGGAUUGAUGAACCAUCAAAGGGUGCCAUGGCCAAUUUUCUCAUCUCAUGGUCAGCUACAGUUCUAAUACUUAUCCCCUUUCUCGGUGCAGUCCUUCUUGAUGAAAGUCUCGGUGAUCCUUUAAAUACUUCAAUAACACGCACACAAUGGUGGAGCUAUACUAGCUCAAGAGGGAGGGAGUGGCGUGCCUUGCCCCUCCCCCACCCGUGGCCAAUCACAGCCCGACAAUUGGCAGCCAGGUGGCUGGACCGGCCAGCGCAUGCACUUUUGCAGAAACCCCCUGCAUUUUUCCCUAUUCAACCCGCACUCUCUUCACCUGAAUUAAAUCUGUCGGAACGAAUCCACCUCGCGUCCGCCUCUGUUCCCCUCGUGCUCAUCUGCCCUCCUCAGCUCCAGCUUCAUCUCCACGCCGACAGCAAGCUCGCCACCGCCGUCCAGCUUCAGCUCCAGCGUCAUGGUCUCCUGGUCGGACGGUUCGUCCUCGACAUCGACAUCCCGAGCAAGAAGGUGACGGUGGUGGGCAACGUGACGCCGCUGGGCGUGCUCACCAGCGUCUCCAAGAUGAAGCCCGCGCAGUUCUGGCCGUCGCAGCCGUGCCCACCGCGCGCCUCCACUUCCUUCUGA
Molecule: ribosomal RNA, 891 nt
Filed under: Triticum aestivum (bread wheat)
Lineage: Eukaryota; Viridiplantae; Streptophyta; Magnoliopsida; Poales; Poaceae
Description: partial small subunit ribosomal RNA
Source: RNAcentral